Molecule: ribosomal RNA, 866 nt
Filed under: Microbacteriaceae bacterium MIDE08
Lineage: Bacteria; Bacillati; Actinomycetota; Actinomycetes; Micrococcales; Microbacteriaceae
Description: bacterial SSU rRNA
Rfam family: Bacterial small subunit ribosomal RNA
Source: RNAcentral
AGUGGCGAACGGGUGAGUAACACGUGAGUAACCUGCCCUUGACUCUGGGAUAAGCACUGGAAACGGUGUCUAAUACCGGAUACGACCUCCAACCGCAUGGUUCGGGGGUGGAAAGAAUUUUGGUCAAGGAUGGACUCGCGGCCUAUCAGCUAGUUGGUGAGGUAAUGGCUCACCAAGGCGACGACGGGUAGCCGGCCUGAGAGGGUGACCGGCCACACUGGGACUGAGACACGGCCCAGACUCCUACGGGAGGCAGCAGUGGGGAAUAUUGCACAAUGGGCGAAAGCCUGAUGCAGCAACGCCGCGUGAGGGACGACGGCCUUCGGGUUGUAAACCUCUUUUAGUAGGGAAGAAGCGAAAGUGACGGUACCUGCAGAAAAAGCACCGGCUAACUACGUGCCAGCAGCCGCGGUAAUACGUAGGGUGCAAGCGUUAUCCGGAAUUAUUGGGCGUAAAGAGCUCGUAGGCGGUUUGUCGCGUCUGCUGUGAAAACUGGAGGCUCAACCUCCAGCCUGCAGUGGGUACGGGCAGACUAGAGUGCGGUAGGGGAGAUUGGAAUUCCUGGUGUAGCGGUGGAAUGCGCAGAUAUCAGGAGGAACACCAAUGGCGAANGCAGAUCUCUGGGCCGUAACUGACGCUGANGAGCGAAAGCAUGGGGAGCGAACAGGAUUAGAUACCCUGGUAGUCCAUGCCGUAAACGUUGGGAACUAGAUGUAGGGGCCAUUCCACGGUUUCUGUGUCGCAGCUAACGCAUUAAGUUCCCCGCCUGGGGAGUANGGCCGCAAGGCUAAACUCAAAGGAAUUGANGGGGCCCGCACAAGCGGCGGANCAUGCGGAUUAAUUCGAUGCAACGCGAGAACCUUACC